Molecule: ribosomal RNA, 420 nt
Filed under: bacterium
Lineage: Bacteria
Description: partial 16S ribosomal RNA
Rfam family: Bacterial small subunit ribosomal RNA
Source: RNAcentral
UGGGGGAUAUUGCACAAUGGGCGAAAGCCUGAUGCAGCGACGCCGCGUGGGGGAUGAAGGCUUUCGGGUUGUAAACCUCUUUCGCUAUCGAACAAGGCCCGCUUAGGGUGGGUUGAGGGUAGGUGGAGAAGAAACGCCGGCUAACUACGUGCCAGCAGCCGCGGUAAUACGUAGGGCGCGAGCGUUGUCCGGAAUUAUUGGGCGUAAAGGGCUUGUAGGCGGCUUGUUGCGCCUGCUGUGAAAACGCGGGGCUUAACUUCGCGCGUGCAGUGGGUACGGGCAGGCUUGAGUGUGGUAGGGGUGACUGGAAUUCCAGGUGUAGCGGUGGAAUGCGCAGAUAUCUGGAGGAACACCGAUGGCGAAGGCAGGUCACUGGGCCAUUACUGACGCUGAGGAGCGAAAGCAUGGGUAGCGAACAGG